CCUACGGGAGGCAGCAGUGAGGAAUAUUGGUCAAUGGGCUUACGCCUGAACCAGCCAAGUCGCAUGAGGGAAGAAUGCCCUAUGGGUCGUAAACCUCUUUUGUCAGGGAGCAAUUGGCGCUACGUGUAGCGUUAUCGAGAGUACCUGAAGAAAAAGCAUCGGCUAACUCCGUGCCAGCAGCCGCGGUAAUACGGAGGAUGCGAGCGUUAUCCGGAUUUAUUGGGGUUAAAGGGUGCGUAGGUGGAAUCCCAAGUCAGCGGUAAAAUGGCGGGGCUCAACCCCGCUCCGCCGUUGAAACUGGCGGUCUUGAGUGAGCGAGAGGUAUGCGGAAUGCGUGGUGUAGCGGUGAAAUGCAUAGAUAUCACGCAGAACUCCGAUUGCGAAGGCAGCAUACCGGCGCUCAACUGACGCUGAGGCACGAAAGCGUGGGUAUCGAACAGGAUUAGAUACCCCUGUAGUC
RNAcentral lists this ribosomal RNA (460 nucleotides) under uncultured bacterium. Its description in RNAcentral is "partial 16S ribosomal RNA". It matches the Rfam family "Bacterial small subunit ribosomal RNA", at positions 338 to 795 of the family's 1533-position model. The record is from RNAcentral.